AGUGAACGCUGGCGGUAGGCCUAACACAUGCAAGUCGAACGGCAGCACAGUAAGAGCUUGCUCUUACGGGUGGCGAGUGGCGGACGGGUGAGGAAUACAUCGGAAUCUACUUUUUCGUGGGGGAUAACGUAGGGAAACUUACGCUAAUACCGCAUACGACCUACGGGUGAAAGCAGGGGAUCUUCGGACCUUUCGCGAUUGAAUGAGCCGAUGUCGGAUUAGCUAGUUGGCGGGGUAAAGGCCCACCAAGGCGACGAUCCGUAGCUGGUCUGAGAGGAUGAUCAGCCACACUGGAACUGAGACACGGUCCAGACUCCUACGGGAGGCAGAAGUGGGGAAUAUUGGACAAUGGGCGCAAGCCUGAUCCAGCCAUACCGCGUGGGUGAAGAAGGCCUUCGGGUUGUAAAGCCCUUUUGUUGGGAAAGAAAAGCAGCAGGUUAAUACCCCGCUGUUCUGACGGUACCCAAAGAAUAAGCACCGGCUAACUUCGUG
RNAcentral lists this ribosomal RNA (492 nucleotides) under uncultured bacterium. Its description in RNAcentral is "partial 16S ribosomal RNA". It matches the Rfam family "Bacterial small subunit ribosomal RNA", at positions 29 to 507 of the family's 1533-position model. The record is from RNAcentral.